UGCAGAAUCCCGUGAACCAUCGAGUCUUUGAACGCAAGUUGCGCCCGAAGCCUUUAGGCCGAGGGCACGCCUUCCUGGGCGUCA
RNAcentral lists this ribosomal RNA (84 nucleotides) under Crataegus enderbyensis. RNAcentral describes it as "partial 5.8S ribosomal RNA". It matches the Rfam family "5.8S ribosomal RNA", at positions 73 to 154 of the family's 154-position model. Rfam says of the family: 5.8S ribosomal RNA (5.8S rRNA) is a component of the large subunit of the eukaryotic ribosome. The record is from RNAcentral. Lineage: Eukaryota; Viridiplantae; Streptophyta; Magnoliopsida; Rosales; Rosaceae.